This 496-nucleotide ribosomal RNA is filed under the name uncultured bacterium. RNAcentral describes it as "partial 16S ribosomal RNA". It matches the Rfam family "Bacterial small subunit ribosomal RNA", at positions 29 to 507 of the family's 1533-position model. The record is from RNAcentral.
AUGAACGCUGGCGGCGUGCCUAAUACAUGCAAGUCGAGCGAACAGACGAGGAGCUUGCUCCUCUGACGUUAGCGGCGGACGGGUGAGUAACACGUGGAUAACCUACCUAUAAGACUGGGAUAACUUCGGGAAACCGGAGCUAAUACCGGAUAAUAUAUUGAACCGCAUGGUUCAACAGUGAAAGACGGUUUUGCUGUCACUUAUAGAUGGAUCCGCGCCGCAUUAGCUAGUUGGUAAGGUAACGGCUUACCAAGGCAACGAUGCGUAGCCGACCUGAGAGGGUGAUCGGCCACACUGGAACUGAGACACGGUCCAGACUCCUACGGGAGGCAGCAGUAGGGAAUCUUCCGCAAUGGGCGAAAGCUUGACGGAGCAACGCCGCGUGAGUGAUGAAGGUCUUCGGAUCGUAAAACUCUGUUAUUAGGGAAGAACAAAUGUGUAAGUAACUACGCACGUCUUGACGGUACCUAAUCAGAAAGCCACGGCUAACUACGUG